UACAGAGGUCUCAAGCGUUGUUCGGAUUCAUUGGGCGUAAAGGGCGUGUAGGCGGCCAUGCAGGUCCGCUGUGAAAACUGGAGGCUUAACCUCCAGACGUCGGUGGAAACCGCAUGGCUAGAGUCCGGAAGAGGAGAGUGGAAUUCCCGGUGUAGCGGUGAAAUGCGCAGAUAUCAGGAAGAACACCAAUGGCGAAAGCAGCUCUCUGGGACGGUACUGACGCUGAGACGCGAAAGCGUGGGGAGCGAACAGG
RNAcentral lists this ribosomal RNA (253 nucleotides) under uncultured bacterium. Its description in RNAcentral is "partial 16S ribosomal RNA". It matches the Rfam family "Bacterial small subunit ribosomal RNA", at positions 524 to 776 of the family's 1533-position model. The record is from RNAcentral.